AAUAUAAUGUAGUGAAAAUGCAGAAUCUGUGCUGUGUUAUUAAUCCUAGAUGUGAAGUUGAGCUCUGAUCAUCUGUUGUGUAAAAGCAGAAGUGAAUGUGAGCAUUGAGGAGGUUUUUGUCAUGAUGUGAAUCACUGUGAUACAUACUCAUUAGCAGAGCUGUCCCAUGUCUUACAGUAAUACACUGCAGAAUCACUCACAUCCACAUUACUGAUGAUCAGACUAUAAUCUGAUGUAGAUGAGUGUGUUGAUGUGAAUUUAGGAGCAGCAAAGCCAGAUCCAUAGAUAGGUGAACUCCUGGUAUGAUAAUCGUAUAACACAUACUGAGGAACUCCUGCUGGAGUCUGUUUGUACCAUCUAACACCAGAAUCAGUCACUGUCCCCAGAUUACAGUCCAGUUGAGCGGUUUGUCCUUUACUGACUGUGAUUACUGGACUCUGAGUCACUACAGUCACUCCACUGACACCUGCAGAACAAACACAAGCUUUACAUGAGAUCGUGUGUCCAACACUUUAAACUGUCCAUCAGACAUGAGGAAACUCACAGGUCAGAAGAGUGCAGACAGAGCAGAAUAUUGAGAUCAUCUUGUGAUUUGGUGUCUGUGACGUGUAAAGAUGAGCAGUGCUGUAGAAUAAAGCUGAGAUGAUCAGAGAGAGAAACUUGAAGACUGUAGAGACACUAAAAGAGACGCCCGCCUCAGUUUCACAGUCAUUUACAUAAACCCUGCUGAGCUAACAGGUGUCUCAUGUGUGUGAGCGUGGAUGAGCGCUGUGUGAUGGUUCACUGCAUCCACUUUAAGUUAUAAUUAGCAUCUCGAUGCUUGCCUACAUUGCUGUGUGUUUUAUGCAUAUAAACAUCAGGUAGAGCAGAUCUUAAUAACCAUUAUCAGAUAAUAAUAAUAUUAAU
RNAcentral lists this long non-coding RNA (906 nucleotides) under Danio rerio (zebrafish). RNAcentral's name for it is "lncRNA si:zfos-1833e7.5 (ENSDARG00000097297.2)". Lineage: Eukaryota; Metazoa; Chordata; Actinopteri; Cypriniformes; Danionidae. The record is from RNAcentral.